GGGGGGCGAGUAGAGUGGCGCACGGGUGAGUAACACGUAGGUAAUCUACCUUUGGAUUGGGAAUAACCACCGGAAACGGUGGCUAAUACCGAAUAAUGCAGCGGCACCUAAUGGUGACAGUUGUUAAAGCGGGGGAUCGCAAGACCUCGCGUCUGAAGAGGAGCCUGCGGCGGAUUAGCUAGUUGGUAAGGUAACGGCUUACCAAGGCAACGAUCCGUAACCGGCCUGAGAGGGCGGUCGGUCACACUGACACUGACAUACGGGUCAGACUCCUACGGGAGGCAGCAGUCGGGAAUUUUGGGCAAUGGGCGAAAGCCUGACCCAGCAACGCCGCGUGAAGGAUGAAAUCCCUCGGGAUGUAAACUUCGCAAGAACGGGAAGAAUAAGCUUCAGUUAAUAUCUGAAGUGAUGACGGUACCGUUUGUAAGCUCCGGCUAACUCCGUGCCAGCAGCCGCGGUAAUACGGGGGGAGCAAGCGUUGUUCGGAUUUACUGGGCGUAAAGGGCGCGUAGGCGGUCAGCACAAGUCAGUUGUGAAAUCUCCGGGCUUAACUCGGAAAGGUCAACUGAUACUGUGCGACUAGAGUGCGGAAGGGGCAACUGGAAUUCUUGGUGUAGCGGUGAAAUGCGUAGAUAUCAAGAGGAACACCUGCGGCGAAGGCGGGUUGCUGGGCCGACACUGACGCUGAUGCGCGAAAGCCAGGGGAGCGAACGGGAUUAGAUACCCCGGUAGUCCUGGCCUUAAACGAUGAAUGCUUGGUGUCUGGGGUUAUAAAGUCCCCGGGUGCCGUCGCUAACGCUUUAAGCAUUCCGCCUGGGGAGUACGGUCGCAAGACUGAAACUC
This 843-nucleotide ribosomal RNA is filed under the name uncultured Bacillota bacterium. Its description in RNAcentral is "bacterial SSU rRNA". It matches the Rfam family "Bacterial small subunit ribosomal RNA", at positions 81 to 902 of the family's 1533-position model. The record is from RNAcentral. Lineage: Bacteria; Bacillati; Bacillota.